CGAGUUUCAUGCCUGACAGCCAGCCGCUGCCGUAGGUCAGCCAUUCCACGGCGGGCAGGCUGUCCGGUAUACAGCGGUUCGCCAGCCCCUGCGCGUUGUACGCAUGUCUGGUCUCAUGCUGCCAGAGCAGUGCUUCCGUCUGCGGGUGAUGCACCGUCUGACGCUCACCGGUCAGGCGGCCUUUCUCAUCAUACCCGUAAUGCACCGUCACCCGGUGCCCUUCGCUGAUAUGGCUGAUGUCUGUCAGCCAGCCGCGUUCGUCGUACCGCCACCGCUCUGCGGUUUCACCCUUCACGGUGCGGUGCGUGAGGCGGUCUGCUUCGUCAUAGUGCCAGUGGGUGACCAGCCCCUCAUCCUCGCUGCGGAUAAGUUUGCCGGUCAGGUCGUGGUGAUAACGCUGUGUGCGGCCGUCAAAGCCGGUUUCCUGUAUCAGCCGGUCGAGUACAUCGUAACGGAAGGUGGUGUGGCUGCCGUUUUC
This 478-nucleotide ribosomal RNA is filed under the name Escherichia coli DEC9E. Its description in RNAcentral is "partial 16S ribosomal RNA". Lineage: Bacteria; Pseudomonadati; Pseudomonadota; Gammaproteobacteria; Enterobacterales; Enterobacteriaceae. The record is from RNAcentral.